This is an RNA transcript of Vitis riparia (riverbank grape), 2314 nucleotides long. It is a transcript of the gene named mediator of RNA polymerase II transcription subunit 27, with no coding region annotated. The record is from RefSeq and is a predicted model, not a curated record. The transcript is spliced from 9 exons. Lineage: Eukaryota; Viridiplantae; Streptophyta; Magnoliopsida; Vitales; Vitaceae.
AAGCCCACGGAAAGCGUGGGGAAACGGAGAUGCAGCAGCAGCAGCAAACUCAGGCGGCCCGCAACCCAACCUCGGCGGAGUCGACGGCGGAGGCUCCGCCGAAGCAGGUGGCGCUGGCGAUGGACCGCUUGGCCCAAGCCGCUCGCCUCAUCGCCGACGUCCGCCUUGGCGCUGACCGGCUCCUGGAGGCCCUCUUCGUCUCCGCACAGCCCCACCAGACCACCAAGCCGCUCCAUCUCUUCCUCAAAGAAGACUCCUCCAUGCGCCAACACCUCCAAGAUCUUCGCACUAUUGGAAAGCAACUGGAAGAUUCUGGGGUUCUCAAUGAAUCUCUUCGGUCACGAAGCAAUUCUUGGGGCUUGCAUAUGCCUUUGGUUUGUCCAGAUGGUGCUGUUGUUGCUUAUGCUUGGAAACGUCAACUUGCUGGCCAGGCUGGUGCAUCUGCCGUUGACAGGACCAGAUUAGCUCUAAAGGCCUUUACUGAUCAGAAACGGCGGUUUUUCCCUCACCUUGAUGAUGGAUUAAACGGUCAGAGUUCUGCUUCUGAGUCGGUUCCAAAGAAACAUUGUGGUUCUCAGAUCUCAACAGUUACUCAACAAGAAGAGCUUAGUACUUACAGAACACUAUCAGAUGUUCUAAUGCAUGUGGAAAAAGACAUGCCAAACAUGAAAAUUUUCACUUACCAACGAUUGGACUGGUUAAAAAGAGCUUCUACACUUCCCUGUUCAGCAGAGGAGUUUUUGAUGGAUUCAUCGAAAGAGCAUGACUUUCAUAUUUCAAAUAAACCAAGAUUGGGAUUGCUGGGUGCUGUUGCUGCUGAUAAAGUCGCUGUAAUUGAGUUGUUGUUUCCUUCAAUAUUCAGAGCUAUAAUAUCAUUGCACCCAGCUGGUUCUAUUGACCCUGAUGCUGUAGCUUUCUUCUCUCCAGAUGAGGGAGGCAGUUAUGUACAUGCCAGAGGUUUUUCAGUUUAUCACGUAUUUAAACAUGUCACGGAGCACGCUGCUAUGGCCUUGCAACAUUUUCUUGGAACCAACACUGAAACAGCAUUGUAUUCUCUUUUGCACUGGAUCUUCAGCUAUCAAACCCUAUUUACAGAACCUUGCAGUAAAUGUAAACGGCUACUAUCAAUGGAUAGACAAUCAGAUUUACUGUUACCUCCUGUUUACCAUCCUUAUCGAAGCUUCUGCGCUAUUAAAAGUUCAUCUCCCCAAUCAAUAUCCUCAACAAAGAACCAGACUUUGGAUGCUUCUCACGCUUAUCAUGUUGGUUGCUUUUCAGAGGAAGCAUAGUCACAUCCAAUGUCGAAGGUUGGAUCGUCUCCAUUCCCUGAUGAUUGAAGUUGAUGAUCUGAGUACUGUGAUACCAAAAUAGACAAAAAUCUGGUAAACUUUGAUGACUUUCGGGCUCCAGAUUGCCAUGUUCAUGAACAGAAGGAAAGUGAUGGUCACUUUAGUGGUAUUAAAGUGCUGGACCCCCUUGUCGCUGUUUUUGGUGGUGACGGUGGCAGCAGCAUCAGCCGCAUCAUCAGCAACAUCAGCAGCAGCAUGUCUGGUUCCGUGCUCAUUCGGUCUGGACUGGUGAGUGGUUUGCAAUUUUUGUUGUCUUUCCUGGAUUUGAUGACUGACGAGGUUACUCAUAUAUGUGCUCCAAACACUUGGUUGGAGUCUUGGACCCAGCUCCUUGGCACCAAAGAACUGGACCAAGCUGCUCGGCCUGGCCUAGUCUGUGGUCAAAUGGUUGUAUUAUAGUGUCUUACACAUGGGGGGCUUCUUUUUUCUAAACCUGUGGAUGCAAAUAAAAGUCGGUGUAAUGGCCAUCUUUAAAAAUUCCGUCUCAUAGGGAUGUGAAGUAACUAACAUGACAGUGACUGCGGUUGUGCAUCUUAGCUUUAUAUUAAUGUCUCAAAGCGUAUAAAGUAUGAUUUAUGAACAGAAUAAUAUGCCGACAUUAUUGAGAUUUGAGGGAUUAAAGUAUAAGAAAACGUGUUGUUGGAGAAAGAGGACAAAAGGGGUAUUAGUUUUGUUAAUCCUAGAAGCCUGUAUCUUAGAAGUAUGCUUAGUUUAAGCUAAUAUCGGUAUCUACGGUGGACCUCGUGCUAAGAGUCCUUUGUUUGGCUUCUGGGAAAAUGUUCAUGAUCUUGGUUCCAACCUCAAUUUGAAUGUCUUGUAGCUGGUGAUGUUGGUGCUAGUGCUGGUUUUUUUCGCUUGUUGAAGUCUUGGAAAUGGAUUAGGGAUUUGAAGAACAAGAGCCGAGAAACCGACAUUGUUGUUAUUAACUUUAUUAGCUUAAUCACAUACUAAUAUUUUUUUCUUAA